This 494-nucleotide ribosomal RNA is filed under the name uncultured bacterium. RNAcentral describes it as "partial 16S ribosomal RNA". It matches the Rfam family "Bacterial small subunit ribosomal RNA", at positions 28 to 507 of the family's 1533-position model. The record is from RNAcentral.
GACGAACGCUGGCGGCGUGCCUAAUACAUGCAAGUAGAACGCUGAAGGAGGAGCUUGCUCUUCUGGAUGAGUUGCGAACGGGUGAGUAACGCGUAGGUAACCUGCUGGUAGCGGGGGAUAACUAUUGGAAACGAUAGCUAAUACCGCAUAAAAUUGAUUAUUGCAUGAUAGUCAAUUAAAAGGUGCAAUUGCAUCACUACCAGAUGGACCUGCGUUGUAUUAGCUAGUUGGUGAGGUAACGGCUCACCAAGGCAACGAUACAUAGCCGACCUGAGAGGGUGAUCGGCCACACUGGGACUGAGACACGGCCCAGACUCCUACGGGAGGCAGCAGUAGGGAAUCUUCGGCAAUGGACGGAAGUCUGACCGAGCAACGCCGCGUGAGUGAAGAAGGUUUUCGGAUCGUAAAGCUCUGAUGUAAGAGAAGAACGAGUGUGAGAGUGGAAAGUUCACACUGUGACGGUAUCUUACCAGAAAGGGACGGCUAACUACGUG